RNAcentral lists this ribosomal RNA (460 nucleotides) under uncultured bacterium. RNAcentral's name for it is "partial 16S ribosomal RNA". It matches the Rfam family "Bacterial small subunit ribosomal RNA", at positions 338 to 795 of the family's 1533-position model. The record is from RNAcentral.
CCUACGGGUGGCAGCAGUGAGGAAUAUUGGUCAAUGGACGAGAGUCUGAACCAGCCAAGUAGCGUGAAGGAUGACUGCCCUAUGGGUUGUAAACUUCUUUUAUAUGGGAAUAAAAUGUUCCACGUGUGGGAUUUUGUAUGUACCAUAUGACUAAGGAUCGGCUAACUCCGUGCCAGCAGCCGCGGUAAUACGGAGGAUCCGAGCGUUAUCCGGAUUUAUUGGGUUUAAAGGGAGCGUAGGUGGAUUGUUAAGUCAGUUGUGAAAGUUGGCGGCUGAACCGUAAAAUUGCAGUUGAAACUGGCAGUCUUGAGUACAGUAGAGGUGGGCGGAAUUCGUGGUGUAGCGGUGAAAUGCUUAGAUAUCACGAAGAACUCCGAUUGCGAAGGCAGUUCACUGGACUGCAACUGACACUGAGGCUCGAAAGUGUGGGUAUCAAACAGGAUUAGAUACCCCGGUAGUC